ACCAUCUGAUUGAUCUUCAAUUUAGGGGUUUUUAGCAGAUUACACGAUAGUUGAUGUAAAUCUUAAACACCCAAGACUUGUUUCAACCAUACCAGUGAUUUGUUUCCAAACCAUACUCGAGGUAUUUGCAGACUUGCAGCUAUUGCCCAAUUUCAAGUUACACAAAUUUUGGUCGGAAUAUGAGAGAACCCGAUUGCGUAUGCUAGAAUCUUUAUUUGUUUUCAUCUGGUGAGAGAAUUGUUUGGACAGUUUGUGUUAGGGGUGUAGUGCACGCCACCUGUUUGAUAAAUUGCCGAAACGAAGUCUACAGCUGCUUUAAGCCAGUUCCAAUGGCAGAAAGCAGUGAGAAGUAUGAAAACGCGAAACUUUAUGCUGAUAUGUUACGGAAUACGCCGUCCAAUAUCAGGAGGUUAACUGAUGAGAUAGAGCAGUGUGAGGGGCGGCAGAAGUAUCUUGCACAGACUAGAAGCCCGUCGGAUGGGGGUGAUGUUAGGUGGUACUUCUCUAAGGUUCCAAUGGCGGAAAAUGAGCUAGCUGCUGCUUUCCCACGUGCAGAAGUAGUAGGGAAAGGUGAUUAUUUUCGAUUUGGUAUGAGGGAUUCUCUUGCAAUAGAGGCAUCGUUCUUGCAGCGAGAAGAGGAGUUGCUCUCUAAUUGGUGGGGAGAGUAUGGUGAAUGUAGCGAAGGUCCGAAAGGGUCAGUUCCUUCAACUUCUAAGUCAGAACCAGCGGUAAAACCAUAUAAUUUACCUAGCACUCAAUCAGAGCAACGAUACGCGGACGAAGAUGAGAGAGUUGGUGUCCCCGUGAAAGGAGGCUUGUAUGAGGUAGACUUAGUAAGAAGACAUAGUUUUCCUGUUUAUUGGAAUGGAGACAAUCGGCGUGUUCUAAGAGGCCACUGGUUUGCUCGUAAAGGGAGUCUUGAUUGGCUUCCACUCCGCGAAGAUGUUGCUGAACAGUUGGAGUUUGCUUAUCGCAGCCGGGUUUGGCACCGUAGAACAUUUCAACCAUCUGGAUUAUUUGCAGCACGGGUUGAUAUGCAAGGGUCUAGCCCGGGUCUACAUGCUCUUUUUACGGGUGAGGAUGAUACAUGGGAUGCUUGGCUAAAUGUCGGUGCAUCUGGAUUUGCUAGCAUAGUUAAUUUUGGAGGGACUGGCAUUAAAUUAAGGCGUGGAUAUGCUCCAUCUCUUUCAGAAAAGCCAACCCAGGACGAGUUACGUCAACAGAAAGAGGAAGAAAUGGAUGAUUACUGUUCACAGGUCCCAGUUCGUCAUUUGGUGUUCAUGGUUCAUGGUAUCGGUCAAAGGUUGGAGAAAGCAAAUUUGGUUGAUGACGUUGGCACUUUCCGUCAUGUUACAGAAAGCCUUGCUGAUCUGCACCUAACGUCUUACCAACGUGGAACUCAAAGAGUUCUUUUCAUUCCGUGCCAGUGGAGGAAAGACUUAAAGCUCAGUGGUGAAUCUGCUGUAGAAAAAUGUACGUUACCUGGUGUACGUGGGUUGCGAGUAACAUUGAGUGCAACUGUUCAUGAUGUGUUAUAUUACAUGAGCCCAAUCUACUGCCAGGAUAUCAUUAACUCGGUUUCCAACCAAUUAAACAGGUUAUAUUUGAAGUUUCUUAUGAGAAAUCCUGGUUAUGAUGGGAAGGUUUCCUUAUAUGGCCAUUCUUUGGGAAGUGUCCUUUCUUAUGACAUCCUUUGCCACCAAGAGAAUCUAUCUUCUCCAUUUCAGACACAAUGGAUGUUCAAGGAACCUAACCACAAAAUUUCUCCCGAAUGUGAAUCUUCUAUGAGUUCGGGCAACACGGACUUAACCACCCAUAAAGAUCCUCCUUUAAAGGACAUUACAAAUGCUCACUCGGAAGCUAUACUCCCUGAAACGUAUUCUGAAGAGUCUGGCUCUCCGCUCACUCAAGCAUCGGUCUCAGAUGAAAAUUUGUCAGUAGAAAGUGAUUCUAAGAAAAGGGAUAGUCCGGCAUUAGAUGAAGUUGGAGUCAAAUCCAGCGAUAACCCAAUUGAGAUGCAGUCUGAGGAGAAAAAUGGUUUGGAUGAAUGCACAAGCAUCAAUGGUGAAGUCUUAACAAGCAACUCGAAUGGAAUUGAUGAGGAAAUUAUUAAGAAUGAUGAAAACAUACUAAUCAAAUCACUGAAGGAAGAGAUUGAUUUUUUGAAUGCCAGAAUUAAAGAAUUAGAAUCACACAGAGCUGAAGCAAAUGAGCAGGAAGCUUCAAUUGCAACAACUGGAAGUGUCUCCAAGAGUUCUCCAUCUUUGAAUAAUGACACACCAGAGAGCUACACCCCUUAUAUAAUAAAGUACACCAAGUUGGAGUUCAAGGUUGAUACAUUCUUUGCAGUUGGCUCUCCUCUUGGUGUAUUUCUUGCCUUGCGCAAUAUCCGAAUUGGAAUUGGCAAAGGAAAUGAUUACUGGGACAAUAAAAACAUAAUUGAAGAAAUGCCAUCUUGUCGGCAAAUGUUCAACAUUUUCCAUCCUUACGAUCCAGUGGCAUACAGAAUCGAACCACUUGUCUGUAAAGAGUAUAUCGACAAGCGUCCAGUCAUUAUUCCUUAUCACAGAGGUGGAAAGAGGCUGCAUGUUGGAUAUCAGGAAUUUGUAGAAAAAGUUGCAUUACGCUCUCAAGUGGUGGUUGAUCAUAUGAGCUUGGUAAAGGUUAAGGUAUUGACUGUAUGCCAAUCCAGGGACAGUGAUGAUGACCAUGAAGAAGAAACCUCGGAACAACCCGAAGAAAUAGAGAGAUCAUAUGGUUCAAUAAUGUUGGAGAGGAUAACAGGGAGUCGAGAUGGGCGCAUCGAUCAUGUGCUUCAAAAUAAAACAUUUGAGCAUCAAUACAUAUCAGCUGUUAGUGCACAUACAAAAUACUGGAGAGACCCCGAUACCGCACUAUUCAUUUUGAAGCACUUAUAUCGGGAUAUACCAAACGAGCCCGGAUUUCCAAAUAAACCCACAGAAAACGAUACAAAUCAAGAAAAUGAUGAGUGGGAUAAGUUGUUCGAUGAUGAAGAGCUCCCGUUAACUUUUGCUGAUGAGAAGUUUCUGAAACAGUUCUCAAUUAGAGCCAAGAAGUUCACAAAAGACAAGUGAAUCAUGCUCACUUCCUUCUAGAUCUGUAUAUAAAAUGUAAAUGCAGGUAAGUACUAGGAAUAAAUGACCUUUUGUUAGAUUUUCUUUAAAUCCAUGACCUUCUGACAGAUUUGAGAAUAUCAUUGCUUAAGAGAAAAAUGCCACUUUCAUAUAUAAGAAUACCUUGAAACCUGUCCGAAGGUCAUGGAUUUAAAAAACACUUGUCAGGAGGUCGGUCAUUUUUUUCAAGUUUUUUUAUUAAGUUCUUUUAUUUUCUUGCUUAUUUCAUUUUAUCGUUUUUCUUUUAAAUCCAUGACCUUCAGACAGAUUUGAGAAUGCUUUUAUAUCUAAAAAUGCUUAGAAACCUGUCAAAAGGUCAUGGAUUUAACAAGCAGUUGUCAAGUUAUUUUUUGCAGGUUCUUUGAGCAAAUUUCUUACUGGUUAUUUGGUUUUCUUUGAGUACCUUUGUCAUUUCUAUCUUUUCUUUUAAAUCCAUGACCUUCUCUCAGAUCUCGUUUAAAUCCAUGACUUUCGGACGUAUUUAAAAUCGUCACUGAUUAACAGAAGAAUGCCACUUUCAUACACAAGAAAGCCUAGAAACUUGUUAGAAGGUCAUGAAUUUAAAAAUCACUUACUUUUUGCAAGUUUUUUUAGUAACAUUUCUACAAGUUCUUUGAUUUCUUGCUUACCCUUUUCAUUCAUCUUUUAAAUCCGUGAUCUUCUUACAGAUUUGAGAAUGCCACUGCUUAAGAAAAGAAUGUUACUUUCAUAUACAAUAAUGCUUAGAAACCUGCCAGAAGGCACGGAAACAUUGAAAUUUUGCCGAAGAUAUAACACAGAAUACGAGUUCAGUUCAACCGGAGGUCGCCGAUAUCGACCAAGAGAAAGAAUGUUAGUUUGCUUCCCUACCCUUUUUUGAACCAUUCUGAAAUGGAAGCAUAAAACCUUGUACUUUGUGCUAGAAAACUUGUACAAUAGGUGAAAAUGAACCUGGUUGUAUAUACUAGCAACUUAGAGUCUUAAAACACUUUGCUCUUGCUGAUGUGGUUCAAUUAUCUUCUGUAAAUGAUAGGCUGUUUCUUCUCU
Cynara cardunculus var. scolymus (artichoke) is the source of this 4160-nucleotide RNA transcript. It is a transcript of the gene named phospholipase SGR2-like, with no coding region annotated. The record is from RefSeq and is a predicted model, not a curated record. Lineage: Eukaryota; Viridiplantae; Streptophyta; Magnoliopsida; Asterales; Asteraceae. The transcript has 22 exons.